Molecule: ribosomal RNA, 450 nt
Filed under: uncultured bacterium
Lineage: Bacteria
Description: partial 16S ribosomal RNA
Rfam family: Bacterial small subunit ribosomal RNA
Source: RNAcentral
GUGGGGAAUAUUGGACAAUGGGCGAAAGCCUGAUCCAGCCAUGCCGCGUGUGUGAAGAAGGUCUUCGGAUUGUAAAGCACUUUAAGUUGGGAGGAAGGGUAGUAACCUAAUACGUUGCUACUUUGACGUUACCGACAGAAUAAGCACCGGCUAACUUCGUGCCAGCAGCCGCGGUAAUACGAAGGGUGCAAGCGUUAAUCGGAAUUACUGGGCGUAAAGCGCGCGUAGGUGGUUCAGUAAGUUGGAAGUGAAAUCCCCGGGCUCAACCUGGGAACUGCUUUCAAAACUGCUGAGCUAGAGUACGGUAGAGGGUGGUGGAAUUGCCUGUGUAGCGGUGAAAUGCGUAGAUAUAGGAAGGAACACCAGUGGCGAAGGCGACCACCUGGACUGAUACUGACACUGAGGUGCGAAAGCGUGGGGAGCAAACAGGAUUAGAAACCCCGGUAGUCC